UGGUGAAGAAGGCCUGUUGGGGCCAAUGC
RNAcentral lists this non-coding RNA (29 nucleotides) under Homo sapiens (human). The record is from RNAcentral. Lineage: Eukaryota; Metazoa; Chordata; Mammalia; Primates; Hominidae.